RNAcentral lists this ribosomal RNA (388 nucleotides) under Nitzschia sp. (in: diatoms). RNAcentral's name for it is "Nitzschia sp. (in: Bacillariophyta) partial small subunit ribosomal RNA". It matches the Rfam family "Eukaryotic small subunit ribosomal RNA", at positions 582 to 975 of the family's 1831-position model. Lineage: Eukaryota; Bacillariophyta; Bacillariophyceae; Bacillariales; Bacillariaceae. The record is from RNAcentral.
AUUCCAGCUCCAAUGGCGUAUAUUAAAGUUGUUGCAGUUAAAAAGCUCGUAGUUGGAUUUGUGGCAGUCGCGUGCGGCCCGGCAUUCGUGCCGGUGCUUGCUAGCGUCGCCAUCCUUGGGUGGAACCUGUGUGGCAUUAGGUUGUCGUGCAGGGGAUGCCCAUCGUUUACUGUGAAAAAAUUAGAGUGUUCAAAGCAGGCUUAUGCCGUUGAAUAUAUUAGCAUGGAAUAAUAAGAUAGGACCUUGGUACUAUUUUGUUGGUUUGCGCACCAAGGUAAUGAUUAAUAGGGACAGUUGGGGGUAUUCGUAUUUCAUUGUCAGAGGUGAAAUUCUUGGAUUUUUGAAAGACGAACUACUGCGAAAGCAUUUACCAAGGAUGUUUUCAUUG